AGAGUUUGAUCAUGGCUCAGGAUGAACGCUAGCGGCAGGCCUAAUACAUGCAAGUCGAGGGGCAGCACGAGUAGCAAUACUUGGUGGCGACCGGCGCACGGGUGCGUAACACGUAUGCAAUCUACCUUUAACUGGAGAAUAGCCCGAAGAAAUUCGGAUUAAUACUCCAUAGCAUUACGAAGUAGCAUUACUUUGUAAUUAAAGCUCCGGCGGUAAGAGAUGGGCGUGCGUCUGAUUAGGUAGUUGGCGGGGUAACGGCCCACCAAGCCUGCGAUCAGUAGCUGACGUGAGAGCAUGAUCAGCCACACGGGCACUGAGACACGGGCCCGACUCCUACGGGAGGCAGCAGUAAGGAAUAUUGGUCAAUGGACGCAAGUCUGAACCAGCCAUGCCGCGUGGAGGAUGACGGUCCUCUGGAUUGUAAACUUCUUUUCUCUGGGACGAAACCCCCGAUUUCUAUCGGGCCUGACGGUACCAGAGGAAUAAGCACCGGCUAACUCCGUGCCAGCAGCCGCGGUAAUACGGAGGGUGCAAGCGUUAUCCGGAUUCACUGGGUUUAAAGGGUGCGUAGGUGGGCAGAUAAGUCAGUGGUGAAAUCUCUGGGCUUAACCCGGAAACUGCCAUUGAUACUAUUUGUCUUGAAUUCUCUGGAGGUAAGCGGAAUAUGUCAUGUAGCGGUGAGAUGCUUAGAUAUGACAUAGAACACCCAUUGCGAAGGCAGCUUACUACGGAGAUAUUGACACUGAGGCACGAAAGCGUGGGGAUCAAACAGGAUUAGAUACCCUGGUAGUCC
RNAcentral lists this ribosomal RNA (793 nucleotides) under uncultured bacterium. RNAcentral's name for it is "bacterial SSU rRNA". It matches the Rfam family "Bacterial small subunit ribosomal RNA", at positions 8 to 796 of the family's 1533-position model. The record is from RNAcentral.